Eriocheir sinensis (Chinese mitten crab) is the source of this 1353-nucleotide long non-coding RNA. RefSeq lists it as uncharacterized. NCBI's taxonomy places the organism in Eukaryota, Metazoa, Arthropoda, Malacostraca, Decapoda, Varunidae. The record is from RefSeq and is a predicted model, not a curated record. The transcript is spliced from 6 exons.
AUAUGGUCUCUAAUACCAGUAAUUAUAGUAGCAGUAACAAUAUUAAUAAUGAUGACAAUAAUAAUAAUAGUCGCAAUAGGUAUUACUGCAAUAUUCACUCUCAUCCCUUCGUUGGUUGAUACGCGUUUCCGAUAGAUUAUUCCAAGGUGCUAAUCAUUCCUUCGAUAUCCCUUUCCGUUGCGAAUUGCUCGUCUCUGAGAUCUGAACUUCCAACUUGAGCGGCGAUAGGUUAGAAAUUUAGCGGCGAUAGGUUACUACUUUAGCGGCGAUAGGUUAUUACUUUAGCGGCGAUAGGUUACUACUUUAGCGGCGAUAGGUUACUACUUUAGCGGCGAUAGGUUAUUACUUUAGCGGCGAUAGGUUACUACUUUAGCGGCGAUAGGUUACUACUUUAGCGGCGAUAGGUUACUACUUUAGCGGCGAUAGGUUAUUACUUUAGCGGCGAUAGGUUAUUACUUUAGCGGCGAUAGGUUAUUACUUUAGCGGCGAUAGGUUACUACUUUAGCGGCGAUAGGUUAUUACUUUAGCGGCGAUAGGUUACUACUUUAGCGGCGAUAGGUUACUACUUUAGCGGCGAUAGAUUACUACUUUAGCGGCGAUAGAUUACUACUUUAGCGGUGAUAGGUUACUACUUUAGCGGCGAUAGAUUACUACUUUAGCGGCGAUAGGUUACUACUUUAGCGGCGAUAGAUUACUACUUUAGCGGCGAUAGGUUAUUACUUUAGCGGCGAUAGGUUACUACUUUAGCGGCGAUAGGUUACUACUUUAGCGGCGAUAGGUUACUACUUUAGCGGCGAUAAAUUACUACUUUAGCGGCGAUUGGUUAUUACUUUAGCGGCGAUAGGUUACCACUUUAGCGCGCAUGUACAAGAGAUAACAACAAAUGGACAAAGGCAAUAGCAAAGUUGUGGGUAUACACCAAAGCUGCGCGUUGCCUCGGUGCUCAUCUCCGACUCCUUGCCCAUUGAGCCUGGGGUGGGUGAGAACUGUUUACAUCCGGGACGAAAAGAUUGACAGACAGACUGGGAAAAGGAUAGUCAGAACACGUUUGAGAGAGAGAGAGAGAGAGAGAGAACACCAGGGAAGCAAGAAUUAGUGACAGACAGACAGACAGACAGACAGACGGGGGUUGGAGGUGGGAGAAGGGAGAUGACGUGAUGUAAACAAUAAAGAAGUUGACGAAGAAUUAAUUAAAAGAAAGAAAAAGAGAGAUUGAUAGUAAGAUGGAUAGAUAGAUAGAUAGAGAGAGAGAGGGACAUAAUUAGAUACGUAGAUAGAUAGAUAGACAGAUAGAUAGAUAGAUAGACACCGAGACAGGAAACGACAGAAGAAACGGAAAAAAAAAACGCUGGG